CCUACGGGCGGCAGCAGUAGGGAAUUUUCGGCAAUGGGGGGAACCCUGACCGAGCAACGCCGCGUGAACGAAGAAGUUAUUCGUAAUGUAAAGUUCUUUUAACAGGGAAGAAAGAUAAAUUUGACGGUACCUGAAGAAUAAGCUCCGGCUAACUAGGUGCCAGCAGCCGCGGUAAUACGUAGGGAGCGAGCGUUAACCGGAAUUAUGGGGCGAAAGGGGUGCGUGGAGGUCAUAGUAAGUAUUGUGUAAAAAUGCUGGGCUAAAGCCAGUAGGGCAAAAGAUACUGCAAAGCUAGAGUAUGAGAGAGGCUAGUGGAAUGACAGGUGUAGCGGUAAAAUGCGUAGAUAUAUGUAAGAACACCAGUGGCGAAGGCGACUUGCUGGGUCGAUACUGACAUUGAGGCACGAAAGCGUGGGGAGCAAACAGGAUUAGAUACCCGGGUAGUC
Molecule: ribosomal RNA, 446 nt
Filed under: uncultured bacterium
Lineage: Bacteria
Description: partial 16S ribosomal RNA
Rfam family: Bacterial small subunit ribosomal RNA
Source: RNAcentral